GACGAACGCUGGCGGCGUGCUUAACACAUGCAAGUCGAACGGAAAGGCCCUGCUUUUGUGGGGUGCUCGAGUGGCGAACGGGUGAGUAACACGUGAGUAACCUGCCCUUGACGUUGGGAUAACUUCAGGAAACUGGGGCUAAUACCGGAUAGGAGCUCCUGCUGCAUGGUGGGGGUUGGAAAGUUUCGGCGGUUGGGGAUGGACUCGCGGCUUAUCAGCUUGUUGGUGGGGUAGUGGCUUACCAAGGGUUUGACGGGUAGCCGGCCUGAGAGGGUGACCGGCCACAUUGGGACUGAGAGACGGCCCAGACUCCUACGGGAGGCAGCAGUGGGGAAUAUUGCACAAUGGGCGGAAGCCUGAUGCAGCAACGCCGCGUGCGGGAGGACGGCCUUCGGGGUGUAAACCGCUUUCGCCUGUGACGAAGCGUGAGUGACGGUAAUGGGUAAAGAAGCACCGGCUAACUACGG
This 467-nucleotide ribosomal RNA is filed under the name uncultured bacterium. RNAcentral describes it as "partial 16S ribosomal RNA". It matches the Rfam family "Bacterial small subunit ribosomal RNA", at positions 28 to 506 of the family's 1533-position model. The record is from RNAcentral.